ACUCCUACGGGAGGCAGCAGUAGGGAAUCUUCCACAAUGGACGAAAGUCUGAUGGAGCAACGCCGCGUGAGUGAAGAAGGGUUUCGGCUCGUAAAACUCUGUUGUUAAAGAAGAACAUAUCUGAGAGUAACUGUUCAGGUAUUGACGGUAUUUAACCAGAAAGCCACGGCUAACUACGUGCCAGCAGCCGCGGUAAUACGUAGGUGGCAAGCGUUGUCCGGAUUUAUUGGGCGUAAAGCGAGCGCAGGCGGUUUUUAAAGUCUGAUGUGAAAGCCUUCGGCUCAACCGAAGAAGUGCAUCGGAAACUGGGAAACUUGAGUGCAGAAGAGGACAGUGGAACUCCAUGUGUAGCGGUGAAAUGCGUAGAUAUAUGGAAGAACACCAGUGGCGAAGGCGGCUGUCUGGUCUGUAACUGACGCUGAGGCUCGAAAGUAUGGGUAGCAAACAGGAUUAGAUACCCUGGUAGGAUAGCG
RNAcentral lists this ribosomal RNA (473 nucleotides) under uncultured bacterium. Its description in RNAcentral is "bacterial SSU rRNA". It matches the Rfam family "Bacterial small subunit ribosomal RNA", at positions 335 to 802 of the family's 1533-position model. The record is from RNAcentral.